GAUGAAGAACGUAGCGAAAUGCGAUAAUUAAUGUGAAUUGCAGAAUUUAGUGAAUCAUCGAAUCUUUGAACGCACAUUGCGCCCCUUGGUAUUCCGGGGGGCAUGCCUGUUCGAGCGUCAUUUCAACCCUCAAGCUCUGCUUGGUCUUGGGCCGCGCCGGCAACGGCGGGCCUCAAAAACAGUGGCGGCGCCAUCUGGUCCCUCAGCGUAGUAAUUCUUCUCGCUGCUGGGCCCCGGUGGGCGCUUGCCAGCAACCCCAAACUUUCUAUGGUUGACCUCGGAUCAGGUAGGGAUACCCGCUGAACUUAAGCAUAUCAAUAAGCGGAGGA
Molecule: unclassified non-coding RNA, 329 nt
Filed under: soil metagenome
Description: partial contains 5.8S ribosomal RNA, internal transcribed spacer 2, and large subunit ribosomal RNA
Rfam family: 5.8S ribosomal RNA (bases 1-120)
Source: RNAcentral